RNAcentral lists this ribosomal RNA (490 nucleotides) under uncultured bacterium. Its description in RNAcentral is "bacterial SSU rRNA". It matches the Rfam family "Bacterial small subunit ribosomal RNA", at positions 501 to 989 of the family's 1533-position model. The record is from RNAcentral.
CUACGUGCCAGCAGCCGCGGUAAUACGUAGGGGGCAAGCGUUAUCCGGAUUUACUGGGUGUAAAGGGAGCGCAGGCGGUUUUGCAAGUUGAGAGUGGAAGCAGGGGGCUCAACCCCCUGACUGCUCCCAAAACUGUAGGACUUGAGUAUGGGAGAGGCAGGCGGAAUUCCUAGUGUAGCGGUGAAAUGCUUAGAUAUUAGGAAGAACACCGGUGGCGAAGGCGGCCUGCUGGACCAAAACUGACGCUGAGGCUCGAAAGCGUGGGUAGCAAACAGGAUUAGAUACCCUGGUAGUCCACGCUGUAAACGAUGAAUACUAGGUGCUGGGAGGCAUAAGCCUUUCGGUGCCGCCGCAAACGCAUUAAGUAUUCCACCUGGGGAGUACGCUCGCAAGAAUGAAACUCAAAGGAAUUGACGGGGACCCGCACAAGCGGUGGAGCAUGUGGUUUAAUUCGACGCAACGCGAAGAACCUUACCCGGUCUUGAGAUCC